GGGGGGGGAGGGGGGAUUGCUAAUAUUUUUCUGGCUAAUGAUGUUUAUUGAUUACUAUCAAAGAGAUGGACAAGAGCGGAAUAACCUCCAAUCAUGAAAUAAAUUUAUGAUUAAAAUGGGGUUUAAGAUUAAAGUUUAUGGUUAAGGUUUUCAAAAAUAAAUAUUUGGAUUUAUAAUUAAAAUGACUAGAUUUAACUUCUCUAUAUAAAGUUUAUAAGGGUUAAACUUUAUAAUUAAGGUUUGAGAUUUGGAAGCUUAAGGUGUGAGAUUAAUAUUCGAAAAAUAGAUUAAUAUUCGAAAAUAAAUUAAUAAAUUUAUUAGUUUUCAUAAAGAGUAGAUCUUAGUUUUUAGUUAUAUUAUAGUACUUUUGUAUUUGAGUUUGGGGUUUGAGUUUUGUGUUUAUGAUUUAGGUUUAAAUGAUAUAUUUAAGGUUGUGUGUAUUAGUUUAGAUUUUUUACUUUUUUUCUCGCAACAACUUAUUUCUAAUUAAUACAUCGCUAACUAGCUACAGAAUAUCUACAAAAUCGAUUCUUAGCCAUAUAGCUACGGAUUGCUACAAUUUAGCUACAAAUUUAGAUACAAAAACAAAAUUAUGUGUUUCGUCGCCAUCUUUCGCCAUUUCUGUAGCUAAUAUAUUUG
Molecule: long non-coding RNA, 639 nt
Filed under: Brassica napus (rape)
Lineage: Eukaryota; Viridiplantae; Streptophyta; Magnoliopsida; Brassicales; Brassicaceae
Description: long non-coding RNA (BNAP_LNC020501)
Source: RNAcentral